AAUUAAGUUUAUUUUAUAUAACCCAACUGCGCAUUUUGAACAUAACAUUUCAAAAAAGUUAAAUGGAAUAAUGGGAAGCAAUACAUAAGCGAGAAAGAGCCGAACGCAGUCGCUCGAAAACGUGAAUCUUAAUCGAAGACUGCGGGUUUAAACCCUGAAACCACAAGCGUCACCUACAAAGAGCCAAAUAAAAGCGUAUUAUAUUAACAUCAAUUGUAGUACGGAGACUACCCAACUGAUUAACUCAAUCGCAUAUGUCAAAGAAGAAGUGACGGGAUAAGUAACUUUUUAUUUUACGACACACACAUACAUUUUACAACGAGGAAAUAUCUCGAGGUACUCCAACGCAUAUGAAGCCGUGAAUUAAAGCUAUUUUUACAACGGACAAAGAAUAGAGAAUAACUUCAGAAAAUCCCGGAAUUUAAAUUGAAUUUCAAUUCAGAAACAUAUUUGAAUCGAACAACGAAUUUUCAUUUCACGAAGCAAAUUCUUAAUAAUACAAUCUUAAAGACACUGCCACUGUGAGAAGUUUAAGUUUAAGCCACUGCUUCGGCCAUCAGCGCGCCGCCACCACGGGAACAUGUAUGGAAUUUGCUCACUGUCACUCAGUCGCUCAAACAAGUGGUCGGAUGCUAAGAAAUGAGUAUAU
Molecule: long non-coding RNA, 649 nt
Organism: Nymphalis io (European peacock)
Lineage: Eukaryota; Metazoa; Arthropoda; Insecta; Lepidoptera; Nymphalidae
Exons: 4
Source: RefSeq, a predicted model, not a curated record